Rhinolophus ferrumequinum (greater horseshoe bat) is the source of this 924-nucleotide long non-coding RNA. RefSeq lists it as uncharacterized. The transcript is spliced from 3 exons. The record is from RefSeq and is a predicted model, not a curated record. Lineage: Eukaryota; Metazoa; Chordata; Mammalia; Chiroptera; Rhinolophidae.
UCAACCCCAAACACAUUUCCUGGAGGAAGAGAAGCCAUGUACCAGUGCAAACUGGACACGACUGAGGCUGGGGGUGAUGAAAGACUCACGUUUUUAGAGGAAAUCCACCUUUUAGAGUCUAUUAGAAGAAAUGUGCAAAGAGUGAGGAACCAAGGAAAGUGAAGCCAGACAGAUGUCUGUAAGCCAUGUCCAAGGUGCUCAGGCUCAGUAACAAGGCCCAGGAGGAAGGGACCACGAGGUGCCUUAGAAGAGAAGACGGCCCACUGGUUCCAGGUCCACACAGCGGGGCCUAAGAAGGCAGCACUCUGACGUUGGUGAGGCGAUGGCCGUGGAUGAGGUGUGGGUGUGACGAGAGAGAAGGGAGAGGAGGAAACUCAUGCCCAAUCCAGCUCUGUUCCCGUCUCCUGCCUUCAUAUAGCCAGUGCCUGAGCUGACGUUUCCUCCAAGAACUUUCUGCUGAAGGACGUGCGGCUGUGGACGGGCUGUGACGCCGACACUCGGUGCAGCCUCCAUGUCCCUGUCACUGCACGUGGGGGGAUGGCUUGUAAAACGCACACCGGAGGGGAGAGGAAGUAGAUUUCGAAUCACUCUUGUUCUCUGGUGCUGUACAAAUCCUGACCCCCGUCCUAACCUGAUUUCCCAGCCACACAGAUGUGGCGGUGAGCCACUGCUGAGCUCAGUGUCACCACUCCGAUGUCCCUAUAUUUUAAAGAGCCCUGAGCUCGGAAUGGGGUAUAUAAAGGAAAGGGGAGCCCAGCCCCAGUCUGAGGGAACUAACUUCAAGGACAAUACAGAAUCAUCUCAGAUCAAAGAGAAUGUAGAGUGUGCCGUGCAGACCCCACUCUGAGGCUGGUGUGCACCCUUAGGGCAGGCGAGGACAGAUGCCACUGUCCUAAAACGGAAGCACGUCUUAGGCCAAGAAUA